Poecile atricapillus (Black-capped chickadee) is the source of this 3935-nucleotide long non-coding RNA. RefSeq lists it as uncharacterized. The record is from RefSeq and is a predicted model, not a curated record. The transcript is spliced from 3 exons. NCBI's taxonomy places the organism in Eukaryota, Metazoa, Chordata, Aves, Passeriformes, Paridae.
GCACACAGCCAAAUGGCCAGGCAGACACAUUUCUCGUGGGUUUGUUCUGUAGCAGUGACUGUGGCAUUCCCAGGACAGCUGCGAAGGAGAGGACAAACUGGAACAGUGGCAGCAGCAGUGAAAGGCACAGACUGAGUGGAUGUCUCAGCCAGGCAGGAAGAGGGCCAGCCAAGAGAGGCUGGGUGCCAGGCAGUCAUCUCUGUGCUUGCUGCCUGCUCCCGAGCCUGGGACUGUAACACUGAGCCUUGCCCCGGGAGCCCUUCCUGGGCAGAAGGAAAGCCUGCCUCUGGAAAGGCGUGAGCAGGAGGGCACAGCACCAGCACACAAACCCCACUGCUCCUCUGCACAAAUAACGGGGACAACAGCCAAAGCCUGGGCACAGGGAUGAAAGCACAUUUGUGAAGAAGUUGUAUCUGGCAGGGAGGACAGAAGGAGCAGCUCUGCUGGGGGAUAUCAACUGCCCCCCUGUCUGCGAUGUGGCUAGAAGUCACGUUCACUACGACUCUGAAGAUCAGGACAACAGCAAAUUUAUGAAGAGGACGCAUUUGAUCGUCGCCUUGAAAUUUUGGAAACCGCCCAGGAGAUGGCAGCAAAUGGCACUCCGGGGGUAGGAGCCUCCGGGCCUUUCAUUCUACUGGAACCACAGCUGAAGGUAUGGAUGUGUUUCUCUGGAGCUAUAUCACAGCACUUAACACCUGGCAGGAUCAUGCUGAGCACCUGCUCCAAGCCAGUCAACAGUACCCACAAAGGUAUCACAGAUUAUCCAUGGCAGGGAGCUCAACAGUUCCAAGAGCUCUGCUUUCCAUGGGCUUCAGACCUCCAUGGUAUCAACUAAAGACUCUUAAUACACCUGUGGGGUACAUCAGCAGCCUCAGGAAACUGUGAGGAAAGCAGAAAAUUAGGUUGUACUGAUUCCUAGCACCAUGAAGUGGAUCCAGGAAAAGUUCUCCAUCCAUGGAGUGUGUGCUGUAACACACACUCCUUUCCUUUCAGCAGGACAGGUUUAACCAUGGGUACACGGCAGAGGUUGUGGUUAGGUGUGUACACACACAGACACUCAGCCUGGAGCAGCUCACAGCAGCCAUAGAUAGCACCGAGAGAACACUCUGGUAGUGCUGUUUAGCAGAAGCAAAGGCAGCCCUGCUGCUUCAUGACUAUAGCUUGGGUUUAUUAAAAAUUCCCAACUGGAAAUUGGGAUUUAUUUAAAAAAUAUUCAUCGAAUUUCCAUAUACAAAAACGCUAGUUACAAGAAUGAAAUUUUUAAAUUACACUUUCAGCUGCAGAUUAUAUAAUGAACUCAGACAGCAGUUCUUAGUAGGCAGGGAGGCCCCACAACACCUUACAGAGACACCCCAUGUCCCUGUGCCCCCCAAGCUAUGUCCCCAGGCUGUGCCACCACAUCACCAAAAUGAAGCCCUACCCAUCAUGUAACAGGGACACAAGGACAUGCCUGUUGAUGAUAAGCUCAUCAUGCAGUCCUUACAAGGAAGUUUAUUUUUUUUAAUUUGACUUUCUGCCUGUCACUGACUUACUAUAUUUACAUCAGCUUUAAAAUGUUCUUUUUCAUCAGUUUUCUUUGUGAAACACUUUCUUAGUAGGUAAAACACAAACAUAAAUAGCUACAGUGAGAGAAUUGUGAAUUGGCUUGAAGUGGGUGCUGCAAAGGGAAAAGGCAAUACAGGAAUACAGAGCAUGUGCAAGAACAGGAUGGUACUGUCCAAAGAGCACAAAAGCUUAUAGAAAAUUACCUUAACAGCUGAAUUUUGAACAAAUUCAGCAAACAAACAGCAAGUGAUGAACCUUAAGGUGAAACACUAUAAUGUUCUUGGAGUGUGAAGUCUCAAAAGCAUUUAUGCUGAAAGCAAAUGAAAGUCCACACCUGCCCACUGUUAAUUUCUGCCUAUGCAUGGCUGGUGCACAUUCUCCUGAGGACCAUCCAGUGAACAGACUGGAUAAAAACCCAAGUUAAAAAUACAACCUUCUUUUGCCUGAGUUAUUUUUUCCCCUAAUCUGCUGCCUCCACUUGGUCUCCAUGGUUACACAAAUACUUCUAGUGGUACCUUUGCUACUGUCAUGUGAAGAAGGUUAGGGAGAAUGGAGAAGCCAGCCUUCAGAAGGCUGCUGAAACUGACACUGCUGCAGAAAGGGAAAUCUCAUCCCAGGAUGCUCUGAGAUUUCACAAACCUUUCCUUUACAGCAGUGUGAUUUAACAAGUCCCCACCCCAGUCCCCUCUUCAGCUGUUUGUAAAUAAAAGAGUGUCACCCUCUCCUCCAACAGUGCCUUGGUGCAGUGGGGAGGAUGUAGGGCAGUGCAGACAGAAGGGAUGUAGAGCAGCUCUGCUGCCACAGGAAAAGCCAUGGAACACAGAGGCCAUUCUCCAGGAUACAGAUCCUGAAAACUGAUCUGACUGGAGCUGGCAGAGAACUCAUGCAGAAAAUGUAACGACGGGGCAGUGAGGAGGGAAAAGGUACUAUUUGUAGCUUGGUGUAAAAGACUCCAAAGAACAGAAUGGACAGUGCCACGGUUUCUCAUUUUUUCUUAACAGCAUAAAAUGGAUGAACUAGAUGGAUUCAGCUCCUCUCCAGCAUUAGAGUGGACUUGGAGGCCAAUCUACACCUAUUUCUUAACAAAAACAAUGCUAAUGUACCUCUGGGGAAACUGUUAAUGCCGGUGACAUGUUUCUAAACAGAACUUCUUGUAUCUUGUUUUUUUAACUAUUACAUUAGCCCUUUGCAGAAUUGUUUCAGUUUGUCUAACAUCAGACUUUUAGCUCCAAAAUGUUUUUCUGCGGUGCUUCUCAAAUCUGAAAGGUCUCCUACCAUCAUGCCAACCCUUAGCAUGACACAAUGACUGCUCUCAAAUAUAAAUAUAGAAAUAAAUAUAGAAUAGAUUAGAACAUACAAACAUCCUUUAUGUACUUGAACAAGGAUAUAUUAUUAGAUCAGUUCAUGAAAAUUGUAUUUAAAUGCAGUGUAUAUAGGUCUUUACUAUUAAAAACUGUAUUUCAUGUAGGUUAAGUCAGAUGAAAAAGAUACAAAGAAAAGAUAAUGAACUAAUCUCAACCUAUUUUUUCCCCCUUCCUCAGUCAUGAAGAGUGCUCCUCAUUCCUUUUACAUCCCUUCAGUGGCAUUAAAAUGGACCAUGCUACCAACAUUCGAUCAUUACCAAGAAGUUCACAGUGCUCAAGCCCAUCAAAAAGUGAAGAAAUGCAGGGAGUGACUCCUAUGAGAUCAUUUACUCCCAGUGAAGAGCAAUUAAUGGAUUGCAAGUCAUGACUGGCAUUCCAGGGAACCACAAAAUCAGGAGGGUGGGAUCAAAGUGGUAAGAGAUCUCUCCUGCUCCAGAACACAUAAAAGACUGGAUUUCACUACUGCUGCCCUCUGUACUUUACACUGACACUACCAUUUCCCCCCUCUAUUCACUGGUUUACAAUACUCUGAUAUGGGUGCUCUCAUUUUCUAACUGUACUUGUAAAUGUUGAAAAGAUUGACUGGGAAAAUGUUUGUCAGAUAAUCAGUCAUUUUUACUAUGCAUCCUUCAGUGUUCAUGGACCUUUCCAGGCUAUUACACACUUCAAAGAAGCUUAUGAUUACCUCCUCAGGAGCUGGAGAAAAAGCAUGAGAUUAUUCUUUACUACCUAAUUCAUUCAAAUGGAGUGAACUCAUUUUUAUAACAUUUGCUAUACUGUUUGUCCCAAAAGCAAGAAUACACUUUUACUUUUAUAAUGCAUGCCUGCAAAUGAAAAUUACCUCUGCUGUGGAAUUGUCUACAGGCUUUGCUAGAUGAGUGAUUUAUGACAGUCCAGACUCAAUUGCACCAAUGCAAAGUGCCCUAUGUUCACAGAAUUUAACUCCCGGUGUUUAAAAAGUCUGAGAGUUGAAUGGAGCAUAAUUAAAGUGAAGGUCAAACUACAUCAUUAUUGUAUUUGCUUGCA